Molecule: ribosomal RNA, 440 nt
Filed under: uncultured bacterium
Lineage: Bacteria
Description: partial 16S ribosomal RNA
Rfam family: Bacterial small subunit ribosomal RNA
Source: RNAcentral
CCUACGGGCGGCAGCAGUGGGGAAUAUUGCACAAUGUGGGAAACCCUGAUGCAGCGAAGCCGCGUGAGUGAUGAAGUCUUUCGGUAUGUAAAGCUCUAUUUGCAGGGAAGAAAAUGACGGUACCUGAUUAAGAAGCCCCGGCUAACUACGUGCCAGCAGCCGCGGUAAUACGUAGGGGGCCAGCGUUAUCCGGAUUUACUGGGUGUAAAGGGAGCGUAGAGGGCAGCGCAAGUCUGAAGUGAAAUGUCGGGGCUUAACCCCGGAACUGCUUUGGAAACUGUGCAGCUAGAGUGCAGGAGAGGUAAGUGGAAUUCCUAGUGUAGCGGUGAAAUGCGUAGAUAUUAGGAAGAACACCAGUGGCGAAGGCGGCUUACUGGACUGUAACUGACGUUGAGGCUCGAAAGCGUGGGGAGCAAACAGGAUUAGAUACCCUGGUAGUC